Ceratotherium simum simum (southern white rhinoceros) is the source of this 96-nucleotide non-coding RNA. NCBI's taxonomy places the organism in Eukaryota, Metazoa, Chordata, Mammalia, Perissodactyla, Rhinocerotidae. The record is from RefSeq and is a predicted model, not a curated record.
UGUUCAGAGGUGAAUACAGUCCACUGGGCAACGGACAGUGAUUCUGGCCUCAAGAUCCAAUCACCUGGAGAGAGGUGCAAGGGAACUUGGUCUCAG